Molecule: long non-coding RNA, 1973 nt
Organism: Drosophila pseudoobscura
Lineage: Eukaryota; Metazoa; Arthropoda; Insecta; Diptera; Drosophilidae
Exons: 2
Source: RefSeq, a predicted model, not a curated record
GGCUAAAUAAGUUUAUGAAGAAUAAAUUGAAUCCAUUCCGAAUACAACCCGAAGAAAGAACAGAAGUGUUUUCGCUGUUUCAAUUCGAUUACGAUUCCAUUUCUACAUGGCGACCGUGACAGGACACACGUAAAUGUUAGAAGUAAAAACAUUAAAACAGCACGCAGAUUCCAAAGAUUGCCCGAAAUAUAUAAAACCGAUCGAAAAGAUACAAUAAAACUGAACUACAAAGUGAUGUGUACCAGAUUGUAGUCCAACAAUUCAAAUACAGGAUGUGACAAACUUGCCAAAUAACAAUUUUCAUUUAAAGUGAUGUGUACCAAAUUGCAGUCCAACAAUUCAAAUACAGAAUGUGACAAACUUGCCAAAUAACAAUUUUUAUUCAUCGCCAGGCAGAAGAAAAUUUAAAAGACAGCGCUACAUAAAGCGCAUGGGCAACAAAAAAAAAAAAAAAAACCUGUGCGAAGACCAGCACCGGCUCCACCAGACCCAGCAAGGGACAAUAAUAAAAGUGCGAGUGGCAUAGGACCGCCCCUUGCACCGUCGAUGGACAGUAACACGAAAACACCAGCAGCAGAAAAUAUACAAGACUUCGCCGACGCUGCUCCUACUGAGCAAAGGGACGCACUCAGCCUACAAGAGGCUUUAGAAGUGUAUCCAACCGCGGGACCACGCCCACUCACAAUAGCUGAGUACAGGGCUCCCAGCAAAAGAAGCUAAAACCCAAAACCUAACGAGGAGGAGAAAAAACGAAUACAAUUUUAUGGAAUGGCCAUCAACAAAAAUACAGUAAUAAAAGCAGAAACGCUAAUACACCAUGUCAAUAACAUAGUAGCACAAUAUAAUAGAAUCACACAAUUAGUAAGUUCUCGAGAUAACAAGCUAACUAGUGAAAACCAGCAUCAAUGCCAAAGGCUAUUACGAUCAUUGAAUACAAGGUUGACAACCAUUGCAGAAAGAUGAGGUAUUGAGAUACAUGUCCCAAAAAGUCUAGGUUCGUUAGCUCAUUUUGAUGAAAGUCAACUAGACAAUAUAGAUGAAUCAAAGCCGAUAAUAGACACUGAAGUCGAAAGCGACACAGAAUUAAAUCCUCAAUUAGAAAGUAUAGACCUUUGCAAAGAUAUAAUAGACACCGACGUCGGAAGCGACUCGGAACUAAAAACCGAAAUGACAAUAUCAGACAAAAUGAACCAAGUAGAAAAAGAUCGGCAGUACGUGAAACUAGUCUCAUCCUCUAUCCCAGAGUUUGACGGCAGUAAACAGUCUCUUCAACGUUUCUUAACAGCGUUAAAAAACACGGAUAGGACUAAAGGAGAUCAAGAAGAUCUAGCCAUUGCAGUUAUCAAAUCAAAGAUAACGGGAUCUAUCCUUUAUAAAGUCCAAAGUGAACAAACGAUCGAUGGCAUAAUCAAAAAGCUUAAUGAUAACGUCAAGGGAGAAUUAAACAAAAAGGAAAAACGGCAUCUCAAUAUGCCACCGAUAUUGACAACCUGCGCAAGCAGCUCGAUGAAGGGCUAGACGCAGAUAACGCCAACAAAUUUUCGAUGAAAGAGUCCAUAGCAGCCAUGACUCGCAAUUGUGAGCAUGACAAGCUGCGCCUAAUACUUGAAGCAGGCAAAUUCAAUACUUUCAACGACGCAAUGGGUAAAUACAUCCAUUGCAGCACCGAAAUAACUGGAAAUGCCAGCACAGUAUUUCAUUACAGAGGCAACAGUGGUCGCGGUUAUCGUAGAAGUUACAAUAACCGCGGCAAUAAUAGAUCGAACAGAAGUAAUUACCAAAACAGAGGUAAUUACUAUAGUAACAAUAACCAAAAUAAUUACAGAAGCAAUUAUAGAGGCCAAAAUAGAGGAAACUCUAGGGGCCAGGGUAACUCAAACAGAGGCCAAAACAAUGCCAACAAUGUAAAUGUACGAGCUACUGAAAGUAGUUCGGAAAACCAAUAAACCCCUUAAGAUAUUCAAAUUGUGCGA